UGGCGACAGAGGAACUCUAUGCCCAGAUCUAACGAAAGUCUAUGGAUGAAGAAUGCAGUCGCAUGAAGAGAAGCACAGCUUUGUCGCCCAGCCGAAGAGGUUCGAGGUCGUAGCAGAAGAAAAGUCUGCACACUCGCCCCUUUUUCCACCUAACAGGAAAUAAGGUGGGGCAAGGAAGGCUUCAAAUUGGGCGGGUACAAUAUUCUACUGACAGAGGCUGCAUGGCAGAGAGAGAGAGGAGCGAAAUGAAGCAAAUGAGACUAAAGAGAUUUCUAGUUUCUCUACCGUGGAUGUGCCAUAAGGGAGCAGUGAAUAAGGAGUGAGGUCGGUGGAACCAGGUAUAUGGGUGGAGGUUGUCCGAUCUCUGGAGGAGGUGGCAGGAGAAGAGACUUCUGCGUUACUCUCUCUGACCGACCUGGAACACACACACACACACACACACACACACACACACACACACACACACACACACACACACACACACACACACACACACACACACCUGUCCACGCCGUAUACUCUCUCUCAUACACUCCAAUUGACAAUAUCUGGCCUCCUCACUUGAGACCUUCCCUUAAGGGACUUUUCACUUGAUUAUUUGGGCCCAGAAGAUGUGUUUAUAUUAAAUUGCUGAACAUUUUUGUGGGUAUUUCUGAGUCGAGUGAACUUUAUGUUUUGAGUUUUUUUUGGUUCAAGUACAGCUGUUUUUAAUGAUUGAAUUGGCUUCCUUGUUCAGUCUUUGUUCCAGACUUAUGUUAGAUUUUAUCCAACCCAAUGUUACCCAACUGCUCGGGUUAAUCGUUACUCAUUGUUCGAAGGAUAAUUCUCUAAAUGUGACAGGAUACAAAGUAUAUUAUUAUCCUUUUGGAUUUAAGAGGAUAACCUAUACUACAAGGUGUGUUGGAUAUUUAAAAAAACUGCUGAGAGGACUUAGACAAAGCAUUUAUUUACAUGCACAGCAAUAACUAUUGACUCAUCAAUAAACCCUGAUCCCACACCAGUAAAUCGGUUGAAUGCUUAAUAUAAUAAGAUCUUGAACCAACAGCAUCUGAUCCUUAACAUGAGUGCGCAUUAAUGUGUUCAAUUGACAUUAAUGCAGGAGGGAAGAUCGGCAUACAAAUGAUACCGCGGCCCGAUGCCGGGUCCGACCGAAUUCUGGUGAAUUCUUUAUCAAGAAGGAUUCUUGGCAUGAAAGCUGACAUCAUUAUACACCUCCAGCUUUGGAGUAAAACGAGAGCUCUGACUCACCUUAACCACUUCACUCUGUUCAGGUAAGGAUGAACUCAAACCUUGUUUAAUUAGUUUCUCUGGGACUCUAUUUUGAUUGUGAAACCAGGCUCCGUAUGUUUGGGCAAAUAUAAAAUGUCUGUCCAAGGGACCUGUGGGCUGGUGAAAGGAGUUUAUAUUUGUCUGUCUGUCGGUGAUGUACUGAGAAAUAAAAGGUUGCGGAGCAGCUUGCAUGUGGGGAACUGUAUUGAACAACCGUCCAACCAUCAUCUGUACACGAUAAUUCCUCCCUGAUUUGAAUGUCUUCCAAGCUCUCUUGAGAUGAGAGGCAAUUUUAAAUAGUGUUUUGACUAUUUUUUUAUCAAAACACAAUUUGGUGACUAAAUGAGUAAACAUUGUCUGAUUUCAUGUGGUUUCUCCGUUCACUGGUUAUCCCGUCGUAUUGCAUUGAUUUGUGGUUAAAGAGCGCAUCUAAUGGUUAUUCACAGAAAGGGCUCCAUACAGGCUCCAUACAGGCUUUUCCCAUGUUUUUUUUUAAAUUCAGGUUUGUGUUCCUUUCUUUUAUUUUGAAGUUAACUCCUAAUGUGUCUUGUUAUGGGCCUUUUGUUCAUUAAUCUGCUUUGUGAUUGUCUGCCCCGCCCUCAUUAGGUUCACCUCUCUAGUCAGACGUGCUCUUGUUCACCUGUUCACCUCACUUUCUCGUUUCUCAGUCUGUGUUUAUACCACGAAAGGUCCUUUUUAUUUGUUGUUUUGUCUUCAGUUGUAUUUGGGGAUAUAGUCUGACUUUGUGUUCAACUGCUGUUCCGUGCCUGUCUUGCAGACAAUAGCAAGUCCAAAUUUUGGAAUCAAGCUAUUGAAUUGGUUCUGGUGCUUACUCAUCUACUGUAUGUCGUCAUUUGGGACCAUCCCCAUACCAUCACAGCUUUAGCCACCUGUAAAUCACAGUUUGAGCUACAUGUCAAAAUGGC
Gasterosteus aculeatus aculeatus (three-spined stickleback) is the source of this 2195-nucleotide long non-coding RNA. Lineage: Eukaryota; Metazoa; Chordata; Actinopteri; Perciformes; Gasterosteidae. The record is from Ensembl.